RNAcentral lists this long non-coding RNA (1249 nucleotides) under Fukomys damarensis (Damara mole-rat). RNAcentral describes it as "lncRNA (ENSFDAG00000027250.1)". The record is from RNAcentral. Lineage: Eukaryota; Metazoa; Chordata; Mammalia; Rodentia; Bathyergidae.
CUGUCCCGGUCGUUACAGGGCUCCUUUAACUCCUUUAGAUGUGGCUUUGGGCACCGGCUCUGAUGUGUACCCUGCACACAAUCAGCCCCCACGUCACAGCAGCACCCCCUCGGUGCCUGCGCCAGCCCCACCCCCACCAGAAAAUCUGAAGAGACCAGCAGAGGUGCCUGGUGCUCACACGCAGCCAUGGCAGCCAGGAAGCUGGCCAUCCCCAUUCGUAGACUGCUCUGUAGGUCACAGCCUGGUGCCAUGGAGGCCUGGAUGGUCCAGACUCAGGGCUGUACCAGGAAGCGGCAUCAGUCACGGUGCCCAGAUGUCCCGGCUCUGCCAUGAAGGAUCCAGAGAGCACCGGGGGUGGUGGGGGCAGGAUCUACAAGACAAUGUGUCUGGGGAGCUCCAGUUAUGUGAAGGUGAUCUCACUUUUUCCUUCACACAAUUGCCUCCACAUGUCCUUGAGUUUGGUCAGACGCCAGAGACAACACAACGUAUCUCCACCCAGGAGUGGGGACAGGGCACUGGCCAAAAGACCAACUCGUGCUUCAGCCUGGAUGCCGGGACAGAUGAGCUUUUGGGGAAGUGAUGAUGAAGGUUCUAACUUCACCAAGGGGAUUCAAUCCAUGGAUGAGAUCAAAGCGCCAUUACUGGGAGGUGAUGGGAACUGAAGACAUGGCGUCUGACAGAAGGCAAUGGAUCAUGGGGAUGCAACAUGGGACCUCUGUCUGCUCCCAGCCCCUUCUCUCGGGCUCUUGCUCUCUCCUUCCUGGCUACACAAGGUGAGCAGCCUCUGCCGCAUGCUUCCACCAUCACAUUUCAGCAAAGGAUCUAGCUGACCAUGGACUGAAACCUCUGAAGUCAUGAGCUCAAAUAAAACUUCUUUUAAUUUGUUUUUCUCAGGUGCCAGCACAGAGACCUGGGCUGCAGCUGAGAGCUCUAUUCUGUUCUCAUCUCAUGUCCCUUAUCUCCAAGCGCUAGGCUUCUCUGCAAGGGCCUGUCCACUGCUCCUCUCCUGCCAGUUUCCUGUUUGCAUCCUUUGACGCCCUCAAAAGCUGGCUGGUAUCAUUUUUCCUGCUGAGUUACAGGAAUUCCUUGUCAGUUUUACAUUUUCCAAAUAUUUCCUACAAUUGGUCUCCUGGUCACAUUCCCACAACGCCCUUUGCUAAGCAGAUAUCUUUCAUUCUGGGCAGUAUCUUUCCCAAUUUAGGGUCUGUGCCUUGUGGGUUCAGCAGGAACCUAUUUCCUCACCACAAAG